AUAUUGUGCAAUAGGGGCAACCCUUAUCCAGCCAUGACGCGUGUGUGAAGAAGGUCUUCGGUUUGUAAAGCACUUUAAGUUGGGAGGAAGGGCUUUAGGUUAAUACCCUGAAGUUUUGACGUUACUAACAGAAUAAGCACCGUCUAACUCUGUGCCAGCAGCCGCGGUAAUACAGAGGGUGCAAGCGUUAAUCGGAAUUACUGGGCGUAAAGCGCGCGUAGGUGGUUCAGUAAGAUGGGUGUGAACUCCCCGGGCUUAACCUGGGAACUGCUUUCAUAACUGCUGAGCUAGAGUACGGUAGAGGGUAGUGGAAUUUCCUGUGUAGCGGUGAAAUGCGUAGAUAUAGGAAGGAACACCAGUGGCGAAGGCGACUACCUGGACUGAUACUGACACUGAGGUGCGAAAGCGUGGGGAGCAAAC
This 420-nucleotide ribosomal RNA is filed under the name uncultured bacterium. Its description in RNAcentral is "partial 16S ribosomal RNA". It matches the Rfam family "Bacterial small subunit ribosomal RNA", at positions 361 to 773 of the family's 1533-position model. The record is from RNAcentral.